RNAcentral lists this ribosomal RNA (450 nucleotides) under uncultured bacterium. Its description in RNAcentral is "partial 16S ribosomal RNA". It matches the Rfam family "Bacterial small subunit ribosomal RNA", at positions 354 to 796 of the family's 1533-position model. The record is from RNAcentral.
GUGGGGAAUUUUGGACAAUGUGGGCAACCCUGAUCCAGCCAUGCCGCGUGCGGGAAGAAGGCCUUCGGGCUGUAAACCGCUUUUGUCAGGGAAGAAAUCCUUUGGGUUAAUACCUCGGAGGGAUGACGGUACCUGAAGAAUAAGCACCGGCUAACUACGUGCCAGCAGCCGCGGUAAUACGUAGGGUGCGAGCGUUAAUCGGAAUUACUGGGCGUAAAGCGUGCGCAGGCGGUUUUGUAAGAUCGAUGUGAAAUCCCCGGGCUCAACCUGGGAACUGCAUUGGUGACUGCAAGGCUGGAGUGCGGCAGAGGGGGAUGGAAUUCCGCGUGUAGCAGUGAAAUGCGUAGAUAUGCGGAGGAACACCGAUGGCGAAGGCAAUCCCCUGGGCCUGCACUGACGCUCAUGCACGAAAGCGUGGGGAGCAAACAGGAUUAGAAACCCCUGUAGUCC